Molecule: ribosomal RNA, 468 nt
Filed under: uncultured bacterium
Lineage: Bacteria
Description: partial 16S ribosomal RNA
Rfam family: Bacterial small subunit ribosomal RNA
Source: RNAcentral
GACGAACGCUGGCGGCGUGCUUAACACAUGCAAGUCGAACGGAAAGGCCCUGCUUUUGUGGGGUGCUCGAGUGGCGAACGGGUGAGUAACACGUGAGUAACCUGCCCUUGACUUUGGGAUAACUUCAGGAAACUGGGGCUAAUACCGGAUAGGAGCUCCUGCUGCAUGGUGGGGGUUGGAAAGUUUCGGCGGUUGGGGAUGGACUCGCGGCUUAUCAGCUUGUUGGUGGGGUAGUGGCUUACCAAGGCUUUGACGGGUAGCCGGCCUGAGAGGGUGACCGGCCACAUUGGGACGGAGAUACGGCCCAGACUCCUACGGGAGGCAGCAGUGGGGAAUAUUGCACAAUGGGCGGAAGCCUGAUGCAGCAACGCCGCGUGCGGGAUGACGGCCUUCGGGUUGUAAACCGCCUUCGCCUGUGACGAAGCGUGAGUGACGGUAAUGGGUAAAGAAGCACCGGCUAACUACGUG